Molecule: ribosomal RNA, 207 nt
Filed under: uncultured bacterium
Lineage: Bacteria
Description: partial 16S ribosomal RNA
Rfam family: Bacterial small subunit ribosomal RNA
Source: RNAcentral
GGAUCGCAGUCUGCAACUCGACUGCGUGAAGGUGGAGUCGCUAGUAAUCGCGGAUCAGCAACGCCGCGGUGAAUGCGUUCCCAGGCCUUGUACACACCGCCCGUCAAGUCAUGAAAGUGGGCAGCACCCGAAGACGGUGGCCUAACCCUUGUGGGGGAGCCGUCUAAGGUGAGGCUCGUGAUUGGGACUAAGUCGUAACAAGGUACC